UUCCGGUUGAUCCCGCCGGAGGCUACUGCUAUCGGGAUUCGAUUAAGCCAUGCGAGUCGAGAGGGUUCGGCCCUCGGCUGACGGCUCAGUAACACGUGGAUAACCUGCCCUCAGGUAGGGGAUAAUCUCGGGAAACUGAGGAUAAUACCCUAUAGACAUCCUUUGCUGGAAUGCUUGGAUGUUCAAAGGCGACGCCUGAGGAUGGGUCUGCGGCCUAUCAGGUUGUAGUGGGUGUAAUGGACCCACUAGCCUACGACGGGUACGGGCCUUGAAAGAGGUAGCCCGGAGAUGGACUCUGAGACACGAGUCCAGGCCCUACGGGGCGCAGCAGGCGCGAAAACUUCGCAAUGCGGGAAACCGUGACGAGGGAAUCCCGAGUGCUCAUGCAAUGCAUGGGCUUUUAUGAUGUGUAAAAAGCAUUAGGAAUAAGGGCUGGGUAAGACCGGUGCCAGCCGCCGCGGUAAUACCGGCAGCUCUAGUGGUAGCCACUUUUAUUGGGCCUAAAGCGUCCGUAGCCUGUCAGGUAAAUCCUUGGGUAAAUCGUACAGCUUAACUGUGCGGCUUCCGAGGAGACUGCCUGACUUGGGACCGGGAGAGGUUGGAGGUACUCCUGGGGUAGGGGUGAAAUCCUGUAAUCCUAGGUGGACCACCGGUGGCGAAGGCGUCCAACCAGAACGGCUCCGACGGUGAGGGACGAAGGCUAGGGGCGCAAACCGGAUUAGAUACCCGGGUAGUCCUAGCUGUAAACGCUGCAGACUUGGUGUUGGAGAUCCCACGAGGGUGUCCAGUGCCGGAGAGAAGUUGUUAAGUUUGCCGCCUGGGAAGUAUGGCCGCAAGGCUGAAACUUAAAGGAAUUGGCGGGGGAGCACCGCAACGGGAGGAGCGUGCGGUUUAAUUGGAUUCAACGCCGGG
RNAcentral lists this ribosomal RNA (912 nucleotides) under uncultured archaeon. RNAcentral's name for it is "bacterial SSU rRNA". It matches the Rfam family "Archaeal small subunit ribosomal RNA", at positions 1 to 922 of the family's 1478-position model. The record is from RNAcentral.